RNAcentral lists this ribosomal RNA (301 nucleotides) under uncultured bacterium. RNAcentral's name for it is "partial 16S ribosomal RNA". It matches the Rfam family "Bacterial small subunit ribosomal RNA", at positions 509 to 807 of the family's 1533-position model. The record is from RNAcentral.
CAGCCGCCGCGGGAAUACGUAGGUGGCAAGCGUUGUUCGGAAUUAUUGGGCGUGAAGGGUGCGUAGGCGGUUUGACAAGCCAUCUGUGAAAUCUAUGGGCUCAACCCAUAGUCUGCAGGCGAAACUGUCGGGCUUGAGUAUGGGAGAGGUGAGUGGAAUUUCCGGUGUAGCGGUGAAAUGCGUAGAUAUCGGAAGGAACACCUGUGGCGAAAGCGGCUCACUGGACCAUAACUGACGCUGAGGCACGAAAGCUAGGGGAGCAAACAGGAUUAGAUACCCCGGUAGUCCCUGUCUCUUAUAC